Molecule: unclassified non-coding RNA, 301 nt
Filed under: plant metagenome
Description: partial contains small subunit ribosomal RNA, internal transcribed spacer 1, and 5.8S ribosomal RNA
Source: RNAcentral
UUUCCGUAGGUGAACCUGCGGAAGGAUCAUUAUUGAAUAAACCUGAUGUGACUGUUAGCUGGCUUUUCGAAGCAUGUGCUCGUCCGUCAUCUUUAAUCUCUCCACCUGUGCACAUUUUGUAGUCUUGGAUACCUCUCGAGGCAACUCGGAUUUUAGGAUUGCCGUGCUGCACAAGUCGGCUUUCCUUUCAUUUCCAAGACUAUGUUUUUAUAUACACCAAAGUAUGUUUAAAGAAUGUCAUCAAUAGGAACUUGUUUCCUAUAAAAUUAUACAACUUUCAGCAACGGAUCUCUUGGCUCUC